Molecule: unclassified non-coding RNA, 255 nt
Filed under: uncultured fungus
Lineage: Eukaryota; Fungi
Description: partial contains 5.8S rRNA and ITS2
Source: RNAcentral
AACGCACAUUGCGCCCCCCUGGUAUUCCGGGGGGCAUGCCUGUCCGAGCGUCAUUUCUGCCCUCAAGCACGGCUUGUGUGUUGGGCCCCGUCCUCCGAUCCCGGGGGACGGGCCCGAAAGGCAGCGGCGGCACCGCGUCCGGUCCUCGAGCGUAUGGGGCUUUGUCACCCGCUCUGUAGGGCCGGCCGGCGCUUGCCGAUCAACCCAUAUUUUUAGCCAGGUUGACCUCGGAUCAGGUAGGGAUACCCGCUGAAC